ACUGCAUCUUUGCCUAAGAUAUAGCCCUUGGCAAGCAUGCUACUAACCACAUCCUCUGCCUUCUGGAAGGCAGAUUCAGCACCACCAGGCGUUUUAUUUUCCGUUGCUGAGGGUGCUAAAGCUGCAGGUGGCAGCUUAUAAUCUGGAUCUGGCGUUAUUGUGACAGACAGGUCUACUAUUGUUGCUCCCGAAAGAAGAACAGCAGUUUCUGCACCCUGUGAAUCUUUGAAGGUAACAUACGCAACUUGAGAACGCUCAUUAUCACUCCGCACUUCAACAUAUUCAAUAUCACCAGAAAA
This 299-nucleotide unclassified non-coding RNA is filed under the name Hevea brasiliensis (rubber tree). Lineage: Eukaryota; Viridiplantae; Streptophyta; Magnoliopsida; Malpighiales; Euphorbiaceae. The record is from RNAcentral.